AAGCAUGAUCAAUCUUUUCUUCUCUGGGGGUAGAGAAGGAGGAGUCUGAUUUAAUUAAGAAGGACAUUAACUCCAAGCACCUACCUAAUCAAAUAUUAACUAUAUUCAGAACAAUCAAAUGAUGAUAGUUUUGUAGUGAUUUAAAUGUUUCUCUCUAUAGCUUCCUGGAUCUUUUUUCACAGUACUUCUUAUUUUUACUAAAAAACCUGGUCUUAGUUUAACCUUCAGAUGUUCUGUGUUUUAAUGACUGGCUGAUGGGAACCUCCUGCAAUAGAUAUCUUUAUUACUAUAUUUUAUAUCCUAGAAAUUGAAGAGGAUUUUGUAUAACUGAAGUAGAAACAGUGCUAUGAAUGGUGUAGUGAUGUAUGGUUGGAUGGAACACAGAGGAGAGCCAGGCACAGGUGGAAUUACAUUAAUCCUUGAAAAUCUGGGGUUCCAGACUUGCAAUGGAACAAAAUGAUGCCAAGCCCAGCUUUGACACAUGCAGGAGUAUCUGGAUGCUCUGGAUUUCUAGGGGGUGCAUUUGAAAACAGUAAAAAUCAUACAUAAACACAACCUGGAAUCAUUUUUCUUUCUUUUUUUUUCUCAGUUCUUUGGGCAAAGAAUUAAGUCCUUGUUUUGGAAGGAUGGGAGGAGGUUUGUUUUUUUUUACUGGUUAAAAACUAGGACCAUGCUAUUUACUCAAAUAUAAAUCUGUGUUCCUCAUUCUGUGACUUCUCCCCAAAUCAACUCUAAAUCCUUUCCUUACUGGAGGGUCAUCUUCUCACUUUUUGUGAGAUGGAAGGGUUGGUUAAUCCCAGAUUUCUUUAGAGGCAUAAGUCCUCACCUUCAUCUAUAUUGUUG
Molecule: long non-coding RNA, 843 nt
Organism: Cyanistes caeruleus (blue tit)
Lineage: Eukaryota; Metazoa; Chordata; Aves; Passeriformes; Paridae
Source: RefSeq, a predicted model, not a curated record